AUGUUUAUUGAGUGCUUACUACUUACAUGUCAGUGCGAUCGGUGCCCAGGAAAUGCGCGCAGGCGGGUGCCCGGCAAGCUUCAGCGGGGGGGGGGGGGGGGGGGGGGGGGUGCUCCCUCCAAAGGAGCAGAGGGUGCGGGGGGGGGGGGGGGGGGGGGGAGGAAGCGGCGAAAGAAGCCGAAGCCAGAGGUCAAGGGACUGGCGGAGCUUCUGGCCGGGGCGUCCUCUCCAUCUCGAAACCCAGGCGUGGACAGGCGUGCCGCAGCCCCCCGGGACCCCUCCCGUAGCGUCCACUGGGCCGCUGGCCUCACGGGGAGGGCAGAGCUCGGUAGCAAGGCUGGGCGCAGGGCGGGAGGGGUGGCGCGGGCCUGGAGCGAGCUCUCUCGGAGGGGGGCCUCCCCAGCCCAGCGCCCGGACUCCGCGUCGUGGCCUGGAUGGCGGCGUCGGUGCGCGGCUCACCUCCUGCGUGACCUUGUGCGAGCCACUUACCCUCCCCUGGGCUCGAUGACAUUGUCAGUUAAAUGGGUUUCCGAUCACCUUAAGGUUGGUGCAAGGAUUGAGAGGGGAUGCCCGGAAAGCUUCCUUGGGGUGGUUCUGGGCGCGCAGGAAAGGCUCCCGCUCGGGGGCGCACACCUCGCUGGGACCCCCCCACCCCCACCCCCGGGUCCUCCCGGCCGGGUCGCCCGCCCGCCCCUUUCCCGGGGACUGACGACUGGCCCGGGCCGCGUGGGGCGCGGCGUGGGAAGCGGCGGCGAGCGGAGGAGGAGGCGAGGGCGAAGAAAGGGAAGGCGCCGAGGGGCGGCCGGCGCGCGGGGCGGGGCCGGGGGGCGGGGGGGGGCCGGGGGCCGGGGGCGGGCGGGUUCCUGCGCCCCGCGCUGCGCGCACCCGGAGCCCCGGCGGCGGGGCGGGGGCGGGGGCGGGGGCGGCGCGCGGCGGCCAAUGGCGCGCGGCGCUGCGGCGGGGGCGGGGCGGGGGCGGGGCGGCGACACCCGGCUGCUGACAGCCCAAGUCCCCAACUCCGCCCUCGUCCCCGCCGGAGCCCGAGCCCGAGCCCCGAGCCCGAGCCCGAGCCGGCCUGGGGCCGAGGCCGCCCGAGCCGCGCCGCGCCGCGCCGCGAGCGGACAUGGCAGCAGAAUGAGGCCGGCGCCGGGUCGUGGCCGCCGGCGCCGCGCUGCAGCUCGAGACCCGCGCCCGGCGCCCCGCGGACCGCGCGCGUAG
Molecule: long non-coding RNA, 1218 nt
Filed under: Canis lupus familiaris (dog)
Lineage: Eukaryota; Metazoa; Chordata; Mammalia; Carnivora; Canidae
Description: lncRNA (ENSCAFG00000053698.1)
Source: RNAcentral